GUUGUCGCGGCUGAGUGGUGAAGGUGAUAGGCUAGAAAUCUUUUGGGAUCUUCUCGGGCAGGCUCGAAUCCUGCGGACAUUG
RNAcentral lists this transfer RNA (82 nucleotides) under Dreissena polymorpha. Its description in RNAcentral is "tRNA-Ser". The record is from RNAcentral. Lineage: Eukaryota; Metazoa; Mollusca; Bivalvia; Myida; Dreissenidae.